Non-coding RNA from Podarcis lilfordi (Lilford's wall lizard), 114 nucleotides. The record is from the annotation of a GenBank genome assembly. NCBI's taxonomy places the organism in Eukaryota, Metazoa, Chordata, Lepidosauria, Squamata, Lacertidae.
UUCCAUGCCAGUAGAUCUUGCCUGGCUCUUGACCAUAGCAUGGCAGGAGGGACAGAGCAUGUGAAAUCAACCUGGAGUCGGUACCAGAUGCAGUCAAAGCAGCCUCCAGCCUGC